AGCUUUGUGCAGUGGAAACAUCGUAGCCAAUGAGGUUUUUCCGAGGUGAGAUUACUGCUAAUUGAAAGCUGAGGCCAACAGGGGUAAUAACGCUGCCCACAUUCAAAUGGUGUGUAAUUGGUAGAAGCGGCAUUUGAACCCAGGCCC
This is a small nuclear RNA of Lemur catta (Ring-tailed lemur), 147 nucleotides long. RefSeq annotates it as U4 spliceosomal RNA. The transcript has a single exon. NCBI's taxonomy places the organism in Eukaryota, Metazoa, Chordata, Mammalia, Primates, Lemuridae. The record is from RefSeq and is a predicted model, not a curated record.